Molecule: ribosomal RNA, 419 nt
Filed under: uncultured Prevotella sp.
Lineage: Bacteria; Pseudomonadati; Bacteroidota; Bacteroidia; Bacteroidales; Prevotellaceae
Description: bacterial SSU rRNA
Rfam family: Bacterial small subunit ribosomal RNA
Source: RNAcentral
GGAAUAUUGGUCAAUGGGCGCAGGCCUGAACCAGCCAAGUAGCGUGCGGGAUGACGGCCCUAUGGGUUGUAAACCGCUUUUGCGGGGGAAUAAAGUGAGGAACGUGUUCCUUUUUGCAUGUACCCCGAGAAUAAGGACCGGCUAAUUCCGUGCCAGCAGCCGCGGUAAUACGGAAGGUCCGGGCGUUAUCCGGAUUUAUUGGGUUUAAAGGGAGCGCAGGCGGCAUGUUAAGCGUGACGUGAAAUGGUGCGGCUCAACCGCAGCAGUGCGUCGCGAACUGGCGUGCUUGAGUGAGUGCGACGUCAGCGGAAUUCGUGGUGUAGCGGUGAAAUGCUUAGAUAUCACGAAGAACCCCGAUUGCGAAGGCAGCUGACGAGUCCUUUACUGACGCUAAAGCUCGAAGGUGCGGGUAUCGAACA